AUUGAACGCUGGCGGCAGGCCUAACACAUGCAAGUCGAGCGGAUGAAGGGAGCUUGCUCCUGGAUUCAGCGGCGGACGGGUGAGUAAUGCCUAGGAAUCUGCCUGGUAGUGGGGGAUAACGUCCGGAAACGGGCGCUAAUACCGCAUACGUCCUGAGGGAGAAAGUGGGGGAUCUUCGGACCUCACGCUAUCAGAUGAGCCUAGGUCGGAUUAUCUAGUUGGUGGGGUAAAGGCCUACCAAUGCGACGAUCCGUAACUGGUCUGAGAGGAUGAUCAGUCACACUGGAACUGAGACACGGUCCAGACUCCUACGGGAGGCAGCAGUGGGGAAUAUUGGACAAUGGGCGAAAGCCUGAUCCAGCCAUGCCGCGUGUGUGAAGAAGGUCUUCGGAUUGUAAAGCACUUUAAGUUGGGAGGAAGGGCAGUAAGUUAAUACCUUGCUGUUUUGACGUUACCAACAGAAUAAGCACCGGCUAACUUCGUG
Molecule: ribosomal RNA, 484 nt
Filed under: uncultured bacterium
Lineage: Bacteria
Description: partial 16S ribosomal RNA
Rfam family: Bacterial small subunit ribosomal RNA
Source: RNAcentral